This is a non-coding RNA of Xyrichtys novacula (pearly razorfish), 1797 nucleotides long. The record is from the annotation of a GenBank genome assembly. Lineage: Eukaryota; Metazoa; Chordata; Actinopteri; Labriformes; Labridae.
UUUCUCUUGAGAUUCAUUUCAUCAUUUAUCCUCAAGGGUUUGAUGGAAAAAAACGGGGUGCGAACACAACACUGUGAGAACGGGUUUGACAAGCAGGGUGUCGCCAAAGUUUGACAGGGCCAAGGCCCAGUGAUGAAGCAGAUUUUCAGGGUAAGUUAUGACUUGAAUUGCCUUUUUCUGAACUUGUAAGUGUGAAUUUGAAGCUCAGUGCAACAAAGCAGUCUUAUUUAAAUGAUCUGUCAGACUUUAACCCUUUAAUGUCUGAAACCAAAAACCAUGGCCAGAAAAUUCAAAUGUUUUUGGAGCUGAAAUGUUUAUUUCACUUAUGACUGAAAACUAAUACAAUCGAUAUUUUAACAAAGAUAUUUAUUAUCUUGUUUAGAUGAAAACUGAUAAACCACAAGAGGACAUUUUUAUCAUUUAUCGGACUGUAUUCAGGUGUUUUUUAGUAAUUUGUUGAUUAUUUUGAUUUGAUAUUAGUGUCAUUAUAGUAUACAUCAAAUGUGAUAGAAGAAGCAUUUUAAGGAAAAACUGCAGCACUAAAGCUUGUUUGCUUCAUUCAUUUUUUUCCCUUAAACUAGAGGCAGAACUAGCAAAACACAACUUGAAAAACACUUCAAUUCCCUCUGCUGACCAGAAGGGGGCAGCAUUACUGCAGUUUCAAAUUUAUCUCUGCACAAGUUAACAGGGAAACUUACAAACUCAAUUACUAGCAGUUUUGAACCUAAUCUGUAGUUAUACCUAAUGGAAAAAAUGUGAAUAAAUGGCUAACUAGAUGGUGGAUACAGAGAUAAAUAGAAAUUUUUACUUAUUUUGGGAGAUGCAGAAAAGAAUGUUAAUAACAAAAUGUUUUAAGGUGCUGUAUGUGAGCUCUUAAGUAUUGAGUUCUUACCAGAAUAAAUCUUAAACAUCGUUCAAACAGCAUUUUAAGGCUAAUGGUUAUCCAUAUGUGGUGCAUGAACUGCUACUUAGUACUACUGUCAAUAAUAAUUCAUAAUGACAGACAAAGGUAUUUAGUGUUUAAAAUAUGGCUCCACAUUAUGAUCUGAUAACCUCGUAAACUGCUGAACCAGCCCCCAUAAAUCCUUAAUUAGAACCAGUCCUGCAGGAAGUGGAAAGACUGGUGGGACUGACGAGAGGGCAGGACUUCCAUGUGCUGCUCGUCAGACCACUAGAUGUCACGGCCUCCUCGAGAAAAGCCUCACAGAGGGCCUGCUGCUCGCUCCCCAGCUGGAGGUUUUCUUUUGUUUAUCCUCUGGCUUUAAGUAGGCCUCAGUCUGAGCUGUCACUCGGUCUGGUUUACAUCUCUGAUUGCAGAAAAAGAAAAAGGACGUCAUUGUUUUAAGAUACGUCUGCUUUAACACAUGAUUCAGAUGACUAUAGGAACAUGCUCAUUCAUCAGUCACCUCACGUAUGGUCUGUCUUACAUCUCAAAAAGCUUGCAUAACUUCCUCCGAUCUCUCCCAUAAGACAUUAUCUCGGCUCUGCUUGUUGAGCCUGGGAGCUGCUCUGCGUUCCACCUUUCCUCCCCGACGUUCUCCCAUUUCUCAACACCCCACCUGGAAUGGAGACCAGAUGUGGAGCAUGGAGACGGAGAGAUUGCUUUGCUUUGCUAUAAGGAACGAGGGAGGGCUGGAGAGAAAAUGUUGGAACGACAUUAAAGUUUGUCUGGAUGCCAUUAAGUACAAUUUGAUGUAAUGUGCAGUUUGGGACGUGACAUUUUGAAUGGAAACUGUGCUCACCAGAUGAGAGAGAUUUGGGCCUUGCAGAGUCAGAGGGGGGUGUUGUACUUGAAGC